GCGGAGGAAAAGAAACCAACAGGGAUUGCCCUAGUAACGGCGAGUGAAGCGGCAACAGCUCAAAUUUGAAAUCUGGCGUCUUUGGCGUCCGAGUUGUAAUUUGCAGAGGGCGCUUUGGCGUUGGCAGCGGUCCAAGUUCCUUGGAACAGGACGUCACAGAGGGUGAGAAUCCCGUACGUGGUCGCUGGCCUUCGCCGUGUAAAGCCCCUUCGACGAGUCGAGUUGUUUGGGAAUGCAGCUCUAAAUGGGAGGUAAAUUUCUUCUAAAGCUAAAUACUGGCCAGAGACCGAUAGCGCACAAGUAGAGUGAUCGAAAGAUGAAAAGCACUUUGGAAAGAGAGUCAAACAGCACGUGAAAUUGUUAAAAGGGAAGCGCUUGCAGCCAGACUUGCCUGUAGUUGCUCAUCCGGACUUUUGUCCGGUGCACUCUUCUAUAGGCAGGCCAGCAUCAGUUUGGGCGGUUGGAUAAAGGUCUCUGUCAUGUACCUCUCUUCGGGGAGAACUUAUAGGGGAGACGACAUGCAACCAGCCUGGACUGAGGUCCGCGCAUUUGCUAGGAUGCUGGCGUAAUGGCUGUAAGCGGCCCGUCUUGAAACACGGACCAAGGAGUCUAACAUCUAUGCGAGUGUUUGGGUGUCAAGCCCGAACGCGUAAUGAAAGUGAACGGAGGUGGGAACCUUUCGGGGUGCACCAUCGACCGAUCCUGAUGUCUUCGGAUGGAUUUGAGUAAGAGCAUAGCUGUUGGGACCCGAAAGAUGGUGAACUAUGCUUGAAUAGGGUGAAGCCAGAGGAAACUCUGGUGGAGGCUCGCAGCGGUUCUGACGUGCAAAUCGAUCGUCAAAUUUGGGCAUAGGGGCGAAAGACUAAUCGAACUAUCUAGUAGCUGGUUCU
This 890-nucleotide small RNA is filed under the name Ascochyta sp. 1 NV-2015. RNAcentral's name for it is "eukaryotic LSU rRNA". It matches the Rfam family "Eukaryotic large subunit ribosomal RNA", at positions 50 to 958 of the family's 3401-position model. Lineage: Eukaryota; Fungi; Ascomycota; Dothideomycetes; Pleosporales; Didymellaceae. The record is from RNAcentral.